This 117-nucleotide non-coding RNA is filed under the name Pan paniscus (pygmy chimpanzee). Lineage: Eukaryota; Metazoa; Chordata; Mammalia; Primates; Hominidae. The record is from Rfam by way of RNAcentral. RNAcentral also lists the same sequence under 1 other name.
GCCGGGCGUGGUGGCUCACGCCUGUAAUCCCAGCACCUUGGGAGGCUGAGGCAGGCAGAUCACCUGAGGUCAGGAGUUCAAGACCAGCCUGGCCAACAUGGUGAAACCUUGUCUCUA